GAAAUGCGAUAAGUAAUGUGAAUUGCAGAAUUCAGUGAAUCAUCGAAUCUUUGAACGCACAUUGCGCCCGCCAGUAUUCUGGCGGGCAUGCCUGUUCGAGCGUCAUUUCAACCAUCAAGCCCCCGGCUUGUGUUGGGGACCUACGGCUGCCCGCAGGCCCUGAAAACAGUGGCGGGCUCGCUGUCACACCGAGCGUAGUAGCAUACAUUCUCGCUCAGGGCGUGCUGCGGGUUCCGGCCGUUAAACGACCUUCAUAACCCAAGGUUGACCUCGGAUCAGGUAGGAAGACCCGCUGAACUUAAGC
This 304-nucleotide unclassified non-coding RNA is filed under the name plant metagenome. RNAcentral describes it as "partial contains 5.8S ribosomal RNA, internal transcribed spacer 2, and large subunit ribosomal RNA". The stretch from base 1 to 105 matches the Rfam family "5.8S ribosomal RNA", at positions 50 to 154 of the family's 154-position model. The record is from RNAcentral.